This 479-nucleotide ribosomal RNA is filed under the name uncultured bacterium. RNAcentral describes it as "partial 16S ribosomal RNA". It matches the Rfam family "Bacterial small subunit ribosomal RNA", at positions 355 to 826 of the family's 1533-position model. The record is from RNAcentral.
UAGGGAAUCUUCCACAAUGGACGAAAGUCUGAUGGAGCAACGCCGCGUGAGUGAUGAAGGGUUUCGGCUCGUAAAACUCUGUUGUUGGAGAAGAACAGGUGAUAGAGUAACUGUUAUCAUCUUGACGGUAUCCAACCAGAAAGCCACGGCUAACUACGUGCCAGCAGCCGCGGUAAUACGUAGGUGGCAAGCGUUGUCCGGAUUUAUUGGGCGUAAAGCGAGCGCAGGCGGUUUUUUAGGUCUGAUGUGAAAGCCUUCGGCUUAACCGGAGAAGGGCAUCGGAAACCGGGAGACUUGAGUGCAGAAGAGGACAGUGGAACUCCAUGUGUAGCGGUGAAAUGCGUAGAUAUAUGGAAGAACACCAGUGGCGAAGGCGGCUGUCUGGUCUGUAACUGACGCUGAGGCUCGAAAGCAUGGGUAGCGAACAGGAUUAGAUACCCUGGUAGUCCAUGCCGUAAACGAUGAGUGCUAAGUGUUGG